GAAAAACCAUCGUCUAACUACCGUUGAAAUGAUAGCUUAACAAAGACAAAUGAUACUUUUACCUAAUUAUCGAUGAGAUAGCUUAACAAAGGUAAGAAUGAGAGAAAAACCAUCGUCUAACUAUCGUUGAAAUGAUAGCUUAACAAAGACAAAUGAUACUUUUACCUAACUAUCAAUGAGAUAGCUUAGCGAAGGUAAGAAUGAGAGAAAAACCAUCGUCUAACUAUCGUUGAAAUGAUAGCUUAACAAAGACAAAUGAUAAUUUUACCUAACUAUCGAUGAGAUAGCUUAACAAAGGUAAGAAUGAGAGAAAAAUCAUCGUCUAACUAUCGUUGAAAUGAUAGCUUAACAAAGACAAAUGAUACUUUUACCUAACUAUCGAUGAGAUAGCUUAACAAAGGUAAGAAUGAGAGAAAAACCAUC
This 423-nucleotide long non-coding RNA is filed under the name Medicago truncatula (barrel medic). RNAcentral describes it as "long non-coding RNA (MTRU_LNC006314)". Lineage: Eukaryota; Viridiplantae; Streptophyta; Magnoliopsida; Fabales; Fabaceae. The record is from RNAcentral.